Molecule: transfer RNA, 77 nt
Filed under: Maribacter cobaltidurans
Lineage: Bacteria; Pseudomonadati; Bacteroidota; Flavobacteriia; Flavobacteriales; Flavobacteriaceae
Also listed under: 3 other names
Description: tRNA-His
Rfam family: tRNA
About the family: Transfer RNA (tRNA) molecules are approximately 80 nucleotides in length. Their secondary structure includes four short double-helical elements and three loops (D, anti-codon, and T loops). Further hydrogen bonds mediate the characteristic L-shaped molecular structure. tRNAs have two regions of fundamental functional importance: the anti-codon, which is responsible for specific mRNA codon recognition, and the 3' end, to which the tRNAs corresponding amino acid is attached (by aminoacyl-tRNA synthetases). tRNAs cope with the degeneracy of the genetic code in two manners: having more than one tRNA (with a specific anti-codon) for a particular amino acid; and 'wobble' base-pairing, i.e. permitting non-standard base-pairing at the 3rd anti-codon position.
Source: RNAcentral
GUGGUUGUAGCUCAGUUGGUUAGAGCGCUGGAUUGUGGUUCCAGAGGUCGCCGGUUCGAACCCGGUCUUCCACCCCA